UGUUCUUGCACAUCCAAGAAAUGAAAAGAAACAUUUAACGUACAUGUUUAUGGUGGCAGACAACAAUUUUAAUUGCAUUUCCAUCUGUAUGAUCUUGGGUUGUGUCAAUUCGGUAUUGGUAUGAUCUUUAGCGCUUACCUACUUAGAAACCUUGUUUUCCAAGCCUUUACUGAAACUGUGAUCGGUACGAAACUUGUACAAUUUGUUUAACCUUUUUGAGAUUUUAUUUUUGAGAUUGUGAAGUAAACCAAGUCCGGGAAGAUUUCCGUUCCAUAAACAAUACAGCUGGCAUAACAAUUUAUUAUAAAUAGCAAUAUUGUCGAGAUUCUAAUAAUCUAUGACACCCGACUAUGUCUGCACCAUUAAGGCUAUUUUUUUGCACUGAACAUGUACAGUAUACCAGUGGUCUUAAUUAGCACAAGCCCGCAAGCCCUGUACUAGUAAAAUGUCUUCCGGGCUUGCUCAAAUUCUGCAUUUUAUAUAGCAGGGCUUGUUCAAAAAUUUGAUGCCAAGCAAUAGUAUAAGAAUUCGGGCUUGUUUAUCCAAAAGUCUUAUUUCAAUGACUGGUAUACAUGUGGUGUCCGGUCAACGCAGCCCAAUUACCUUUUCGUCCUUGUCCAAAUCGGCCUACUUUUGAAAGGAAGCGUGCCUGCCUAUGAAAUGCCGAUGGGUAUUAUGUUGUUCACACCUAAAUUACAUAUUAUUUAGAGUUGUUUAUGUGUUAGAGUGUUAAUAAAAACAGCGAAAAAACUGUUUUGAUAAUUGAAAAUUCCGAAGAAUGUUAAUGAUAUUAAUAAAUUUAUUAAAAAAAAUCAUUUUUUAUUAUGGCAGUACAGGACUGGAACUAUUUAGAGGCGAGUGUCGCGCAUGCAAAAACAGUGGAGAGCUUCAAGGCAGCUCUCAGAAGUCGUGACUGAACCACCAGGACUCACCACCGAUGCGUUGUAGUUUGGGACAUUAAAGUUAAGCCAGACUGCAAGAUUCAUCUCUUCAUAAAGGAUGUCAUAUAGCUUUCCAGAUACACCAUGUUGUGUGUGGGCAGAAAUGCAGAGUGGUUCCAUCAGUGACCUAAGCCACCAUUCCCCUCACAGACAAAAGGCUCAUGCAGACAGUUGUUUGUGGGUGGAAAUGCACAGUGGUACCACUAGUAACCUAAGCUGCCAUUCCCCUCAAAAGGCUCAUGGGGACAGUCCCUCCAGUUAACAGAAAAGCUCUCAAUUGUAGCCCUACGAACUUCAGAUACUGCCGAGGGCGUAGCUCUGGUGCACCGGGCCGGUUUUUAUAGCCAUUUGAAAUCAACAUUUCCAGCUGACUUAGGGCCGGGAACAAUAUCAGACUCCUAAGCAGCACGGACCUCUUUCUUGGGUGGAUGGAUUCAGAGAUGACCCCAGAGAUGCAGUCAUGACUGUGGCACAAGGACGUUAUAGAUUGUGACUGUAAAGAAAUUAUGAUAGCAGAAAAAUGAAACUAUCUUGAUAUGGUUUUCUGGUGUUAAAUCAGCGGACAGUGUUCAUAAUUUGUUGGAAAAUAGUGUCAUAGCUGAAAUCAAUUUUACAAAUUCAUAAUAAAAUGGUGAACUGGAGUGAUUUAACAUACAACAAGAAAGGCAAUGUUGUUGUGCCGUCUCCAUAAGCAGAAAUGGAGGUAGCUUUGUUAGAACGAAAAGCACAACUGAUGGAACAUGACAAAAUGCAGCGGCCAUGACUAGAGGAAAAGGCGACUUUGUAUGUAAAAGAGGAGCUGCUGCAGCAAAUGUGAAAGUUACAGCUUUAUGGGAACCAGAAAGAAGUGAAAGUGUAAUCAGCUACUAUGAAACAGCAGGACUGGCGGAAAUACCUACUGCAAAGCCAAAAGGAUUGUUGAAAACUUGUAUACUACAUUCAUGGAUAGUUUACCAAAGUGCAGAGAGUUGAUCAAUUGAGGGAGAUUUGUCAAAAUAUCUUUUGAAAAUCAUCAACCCACCCGAAGCUUAACAGUCCUGUGAGACUAAUUUUGCACAGAAUAUGACUUGAUCAUCUGGCCCUUAUUUCUCGAAACUUCUUAAGCUUAACAGUUUUAAGUCGCUUAUUUCAAUUAGCCAAAAUACAUACUUUGAUGAAUGAAAAAUUGUUUAUUCUGAUACUCAUACAGAUUAUUCCUACAUUAUUUCUAAAAAUUCUUGAAGAAGUUAAUAUAACAUAUUUUAUAGAACAACAAAAAUAGUGAGAUUAGCUUAAUCCUGUUAUAAGGUACUUACCGGUAAGAAGUUUCGAGAAAUUGGGACCUGCUGAAGAAAUGGACUGUAAAAAGGCUCAUGCAUCUUGAUAGAGGAGUGUUUCUGAAUGGUUCAAAGUUGCCUCAACUGUCAAAGUGAUAUGGGGGACACAAGCAAGCUCCUACAAGAAGCAAAUGGAUUGUUUCUUUACUCAGUUUUUCCUAUUCGUUGAGUUUGGCCAAUUAUCUAACGUAGACAGAGACUCCCCAAACAGGAGUGCUGAAACCAAACCCUGUAUUCAUCAGGAUAAUGGAUUAAUUAGCAGACACAAAGUAGAACAACCGUAGUGAUAAAUGUGCUCACUUCUUAAGGUUAAUUAUUAAUUUUAUUAACUGUGAUAUGUUUUGAAAUAUGUGGCGAAGUGAAAGAAGGCAGGAUUUGUUUCAGAAGCGGAUUCUCACUUUUUUGCUUUAUGAUAACGCUCUGAUGAGCUCAAGUGUUAAAUGUGAUGUGUGUGGUAGUUUCAGUUUGAAGUUCAUCCAUGGAAGAUAACAACAGCAGUGAAGAUGAACAACUUGUAAAACUUUUUUUAUGCAAAACAAAUUCUUUUUUUAUAUUUUUUAUGUCUUGAUUGAAAUGCAGAAUUAGUUCUUCUAAGAAGUGUCCUUAACAUCUUGCAUGUCUAAAUUAUUAUGCUACAUGUAUAACCCUCUAUUUGCAACUUCUUAUUCGUUUCGUGUCACUUCAGUUAGAAAACCUUCAUGCAUUUGCCAAAUAAAUGUUGUAAGCCCCCAGUUGAUUCAGUUAUUCAGCUUUGUUAACUGGCAUCUUAUAAAUCUUAGAGGACAAAACAGUACACAAUAACAUCUACGUUAGUGAUCCAAUUGCGUGAAAAUCAUGCCCAUCUGGAAUAACAAACUGUCGUUCCCUACUAUAUGUCUUGAGUGGUCUGUACAUGAUUAUACUGUAUAUGUACCUAUCAGAUAACCCUAUGAGUAAAAUACAUGUAUUUUAAGGAAUGUUUGACAUGAUAAUCCUCUGCUGUGCAUCUCCUGCUAAUUGCACUGAUGUCACAGUAGGGGC
Long non-coding RNA from Mya arenaria, 3277 nucleotides. RefSeq lists it as uncharacterized. The record is from RefSeq and is a predicted model, not a curated record. The transcript has 5 exons. Lineage: Eukaryota; Metazoa; Mollusca; Bivalvia; Myida; Myidae.